Molecule: ribosomal RNA, 891 nt
Filed under: uncultured bacterium
Lineage: Bacteria
Description: bacterial SSU rRNA
Rfam family: Bacterial small subunit ribosomal RNA
Source: RNAcentral
GGCCAGCAGCCGCGGUAAUACGUAGGUGCCAAGCGUUGUCCGGAUUUAUUGGGCGUAAAGCGAGCGCAGGCGGUUUCUUAAGUCUGAUGUGAAAGCCUUCGGCUCAACCGAAGAAGUGCAUCGGAAACUGGGAAACUUGAGUGUAGAAGAGGACAGUGGAACUCCAUGUGUAGCGGUGAAAUGCGUAGAUAUAUGGAAGAACACCAGUGGCGAAGGCGGCUGUCUGGUCUGUAACUGACGCUGAGGCUCGAAAGCAUGGGUAGCAAACAGGAUUAGAUACCCUGGUAGUCCAUGCCGUAAACGAUGAGUGCUAGGUGUUGGAGGGUUUCCGCCCUUCAGUGCCGCAGCUAACGCAUUAAGCACUCCGCCUGGGGAGUACGACCGCAAGGUUGAAACUCAAAGGAAUUGACGGGGGCCCGCACAAGCGGUGGAGCAUGUGGUUUAAUUCGAAGCAACGCGAAGAACCUUACCAGGUCUUGACAUCCUUUGACCACUCUAGAGAUAGAGCUUUCCCUUCGGGGACAAAGUGACAGGUGGUGCAUGGUUGUCGUCAGCUCGUGUCGUGAGAUGUUGGGUUAAGUCCCGCAACGAGCGCAACCCUUAUUACUAGUUGCCAGCAUUAAGUUGGGCACUCUAGUGAGACUGCCGGUGACAAACCGGAGGAAGGUGGGGACGACGUCAAAUCAUCAUGCCCCUUAUGACCUGGGCUACACACGUGCUACAAUGGAUGGUACAACGAGUUGCGAGACCGCGAGGUUUAGCUAAUCUCUUAAAACCAUUCUCAGUUCGGAUUGUAGGCUGCAACUCGCCUACAUGAAGCCGGAAUCGCUAGUAAUCGCGGAUCAGCAUGCCGCGGUGAAUACGUUCCCGGGCCUUGUACACACCGCCCGU